This 253-nucleotide ribosomal RNA is filed under the name uncultured bacterium. RNAcentral's name for it is "partial 16S ribosomal RNA". It matches the Rfam family "Bacterial small subunit ribosomal RNA", at positions 524 to 776 of the family's 1533-position model. The record is from RNAcentral.
UACGUAGGGUGCGAGCGUUGUUCGGAAUUACUGGGCGUAAAGGGCUCGUAGGCGGCCAACUAAGUCGGAUGUGAAAUCCCCAGGCUCAACUUGGGAACUGCAUCCGAUACUGGAUGGCUUGAAUCCGGGAGAGGGAUGCAGAAUUCCAGGUGUAGCGGUGAAAUGCGUAGAUAUCUGGAGGAAUACCGGUGGCGAAGGCGGCAUCCUGGACCGGCAUUGACGCUGAUGAGCGAAAGCUAGGGGAGCAAACGGG